UACCGGCGGCUCGAGUGGUGGCCGCUUUUACUGGGCUUAAAGGGUCCGUAGCUGGAUUUGCAAGUCCCUUGAGAAAUCUAUUUGCUUAACAGAUAGGCGUUCAGGGGAAACUGUGAUUCUAGGGACCGGGAGAGGUAAGAGGUACUGCCGGGGUAGGAGUGAAAUCCUGUAAUCCCGGUGGGACGACCUAUAGCGAAGGCAUCUUACCAGAACGGCUCCGACAGUGAGGGACGAAAGCUGGGGGAGCAAA
This 250-nucleotide ribosomal RNA is filed under the name uncultured bacterium. RNAcentral's name for it is "partial 16S ribosomal RNA". It matches the Rfam family "Archaeal small subunit ribosomal RNA", at positions 474 to 723 of the family's 1478-position model. The record is from RNAcentral.